AACGAACGCUGGCGGCGUGUCUUAAGCAUGCAAGUCGAGCGGCAAGGGCAGCAAUGCCCCUAGAGCGGCGGACGGGUGAGUAACACGUGGGUAACCUGCCUUAUAGAGGGGGAUAGCCUUCCGAAAGGAAGAUUAAUACCGCAUAACAUGUUUUUACUGCAUGGUAGAAACAUCAAAGGAGCAAUCCGCUAUAAGAUGGACCCGCGGCGCAUUAGCUAGUUGGUGAGGUAACGGCUCACCAAGGCGACGAUGCGUAGCCGACCUGAGAGGGUGAUCGGCCACAUUGGAACUGAGACACGGUCCAGACUCCUACGGGUGGCAG
Molecule: ribosomal RNA, 322 nt
Filed under: uncultured Bacillota bacterium
Lineage: Bacteria; Bacillati; Bacillota
Description: bacterial SSU rRNA
Rfam family: Bacterial small subunit ribosomal RNA
Source: RNAcentral